This 253-nucleotide ribosomal RNA is filed under the name uncultured bacterium. Its description in RNAcentral is "partial 16S ribosomal RNA". It matches the Rfam family "Bacterial small subunit ribosomal RNA", at positions 524 to 776 of the family's 1533-position model. The record is from RNAcentral.
UACGGGAGGGGCAAGCGUUGUUCGGAAUUACUGGGCGUAAAGGGCUCGUAGGUGGCCAACUAAGUCAGACGUGAAAUCCCUCGGCUUAACCGGGGAACUGCGUCUGAUACUGGAUGGCUUGAGUUCGGGAGAGGGAUGCGGAAUUCCAGGUGUAGCGGUGAAAUGCGUAGAUAUCUGGAGGAACACCGGUGGCGAAGGCGGCAUCCUGGACCAACACUGACACUGAGGAGCGAAAGCCAGGGGAGCAAACGGG